CCGCUACUUGCGGAAGGACCGUGCGCGAAAUUCCGCCUGCGGUUGACACACUGCCGAUCGGCCCCGAACGCUGACUACUAUGGGACUCCACCAUAGGUCGUUCUGGAAGAUGUCUGCUGGGUCACAAAUUCAGAUGGCACCCCAAUCAACUGUAAACUCUGGUCAGUCGGUUCAUAGUCAAGAUUCGAACAUGAGCACUGGCUCAUCGCACAGUGAUAAGGAGGUGGAUGCAAACACUCCGGAAAAAGUAUCACGGACUGCUACUGAGAGGAAGAGAAAGCGCAAAGCGGAUGAUGGAGGUGGGGGUGUUUCAGGAGGACCUGUAGGGAGUAAAGGCGCUAGAUCAGUCGCUGCCCUUGAUAAUAAGAAAAUCAAUGAGUAUUUCCCAAAGCAUCAUCUGGGUAAUAGUCCUAUCCGGCACGGUGGAGCCAAGAGCCCUUCUCCUCAACAGGCUUAUUCUAUGUAUCCACCAUCGCCUCAACAGUUACUUUCACCCCAAGUAACAACACCCAAUUCUUCGGUGGCGGAAUUCUCUUCAAUGAUGCAGCCGCCAAGACCUCAUCCACAACCUCCACCUCCUCCUCCACCAGCUUCAACACAACCUGCAGGCUCCAUGGUCAGCAAGCAGGUGCAGGUAAGGCCUACCAACCUCAAUAGGACAAGCCAGGUCAGGCAAGCGAAGACUAACACCCCAAAUACAGAACUUACUUGCCAGAGGAUACAGGAAUUUGAAACUCAAGCUUCUUCGGACUUAGAACUACGUAACAGCAAAAUUGAAGAAUUAAAUAGGACAACGGACGAACUUAAGCUUCAAGUGGCUAAUCAAGUGAAAAUGAUUGAGCAGCACAAAUCACAUAUAAAUAAGUGUAUAGACGUUGUAAAGAAGUUAUUAAAAGAAAAAUCAAACAUAGAAAAAAAGGAGGCUAGGCAGAAGUGUAUGCAAAAUAGACUGAGGCUGGGUCAGUUCGUUACGCAGAGGGUGGGCGCCACCUUUCAAGAGAACUGGACCGACGGUUACGCGUUUCAGGAGCUCGCGCGGCGACAGGAAGAGAUAGCGACUGAACGGGAAGAGAUCGAUAAGCAGAAGAAGUUGCUGCUCAAGAAGAGGCCGUCGAACAGCGAGACUGGCAGAAAACGUAGUCAACCGCAAUCCUCCCUGCAUAAUGGCACCGAGGCGACGUUCUUGAAGCCAGAUGCAGUACCUGGGUAUACAUGGCAGGAGUAUUAUGAAGCUGACGAAAUACUCAAGUUAAGGCAAAGCGCGUUGAAGAAAGAAGACGCGGAUCUGCAAUUAGAAAUGGAGAAGCUCGAGAGGGAGCGGAACCUACACAUCAGGGAGCUGAAGCGUAUUCACAACGAGGACCAAUCGAGAUUCAACUCCCAUCCUGUUUUGAACGAACGUUACCUUCUACUAAUGUUAUUAGGAAAAGGUGGUUUCAGCGAAGUGCACAAGGCAUUUGACUUAAAAGAGCAACGGUAUGUGGCUUGCAAAGUGCAUCAAUUAAAUAAAGACUGGAAAGAAGAUAAAAAAGCUAAUUAUAUAAAGCAUGCGUUGCGAGAAUACAAUAUACACAAAGCGUUGGAUCAUCCACGAGUCGUAAAAUUGUAUGAUGUAUUUGAAAUUGAUGCCAAUUCCUUUUGUACCGUUCUGGAGUAUUGUGAUGGCCAUGAUUUAGAUUUUUACCUCAAGCAGCAUAAGACUAUACCCGAGAGAGAAGCGAGAUCUAUUGUUAUGCAAGUCGUAUCGGCAUUAAAAUACCUCAAUGAAAUAAAACCCCCAGUCAUACAUUACGAUCUAAAGCCAGGUAAUAUCCUAUUAACCGAGGGCAACGUGUGCGGCGAAAUAAAAAUCACGGACUUCGGUUUAAGUAAAGUCAUGGACGAGGAGAAUUACAAUCCGGAUCACGGGAUGGAUCUAACGUCACAAGGAGCGGGUACUUAUUGGUACCUGCCCCCUGAGUGUUUCGUCAUUGGCAAAAAUCCUCCCAAAAUAUCGUCCAAAGUCGACGUUUGGAGUGUAGGAGUUAUAUUUUACCAAUGCCUAUAUGGUAAAAAGCCUUUUGGCCACAACCAAUCGCAGGCUACCAUUUUAGAGGAGAAUACGAUACUAAAGGCCACGGAGGUUCAGUUCGCGAAUAAACCGACCGUCAGCAACGAAGCAAAGAGUUUCAUAAGAAGUUGCCUAGCGUAUAGAAAGGAGGAGCGCAUAGACGUACUGACAUUAGCUAGACACGAAUACCUGCAACCCCCAGUGCCAAAACAUGGCCGCCAAGCGAACAGCCAGCAGCAGCAGCAACAGCAGCAGAUACAGCAGCAGCAGCAGCAAAGUUCGUUCACUAUUGGCAUGUUUAGCGGUAUGAACGCGUCGAGCAGUUCGUAGUGGAGAGGAAGGACUAAGGACAAGAUCCUCGAUAUACCAAUACAUGCCAAAUCUUGAACGCUCGGACUGCACACCAUCUCAUCUUUAGGGAAAUAACGAUUGCUAUAACCAAUUGUCGACGACUACAUAGGACAUUGCAAGAGAGAUGCGAGACUGGUCACCGCAAGUCCAGGAGCUUGCGUCUUUCUACAAGCCACGCCACAUUAUUCAGCAUGACAAAAAAUGUUGUGUUCGUAAAUAUUCAAUUGUAUUAUCGUUCCUUGUAUCAAACAGUGCGCUGACUUGAUAAUAGUGUUUAAAAGAGACGACGAGAGAGUGAGAGAGAGAGAGAGAGAGAGCGCGCGAAAGAGCGAGAGAGAAAGAAAGAGAGGGAGAGCAAGUGCGCAAGAGAGAAUGCGAACGAACGAACGAGCGAGCGAACGAAAAGUUAAACAUGUGAUAAGUCAUUGUGAACUAAAAGUGACGUUUAGAUUAAGGGGGAGGGGGGCGAGUGGGGAAACGAAGCGUAUGUGGAAAAACAAAAGAGAGAAAGAGAGAGAGGGGGGACAGCGAUAAAAGCAAAAAGAUGCAACAACUGGAAUACCUGGUAUAGAAGUAAACCUAUUCGGAAAAAUAAAAUAGCAGGUCAAGGCAGCAACGAAUGAUGAAGGAUGGAGGGGGAGGGGGUGGAACAAAAGUAGGAACGAAAAGAAAAAAAGAACAUGAGAAAAGCAAUCGGAGCAAUCGCUUUUACGGAGACGUUCCUCUCUCCUGGCGUUUAGUGUGCGUGAGAGAGCGCUAGAGGAUUGUUAAAAUUAGCGUGAGUGUAUAUAUUUAUACUAUAUAUAUAUAAAUAUAUAUAUAUAAACUAAUAAAUCCGACAUAAUAUAUAUAUAUAUGGUGUAAAAAGGACAAGCAUUGACAGUGGGAAGACAACUGUGGUGGCUCUAUCCUCGCAUGACUUUCGGCGCCAGCCCGGCAUUCCAUGAAUGCUUGACUCGCGCAUCAUGUUACUUUAUUCGAAUAUUAACAUUAUUACUUGUAUCAUGACUAAUAACGAUUAACAUACACGCGCAUCCACGCCCACACACGACACACACACAUACACGACAUGACACGAUACACGAAGGAGAUUUGGUUGGUUGUUCCUAUUCUGAGACGAGAGUGGGCUUUUAUCUAUGCCGGAACGAUAGACCGAUAUAAAGAAAAAGAGAGAGAGAGAGAGAGAGAAAGACAACAAAGUGAGAGAUCGCAAGUAGAGAGAGAGAGAGAGAGAGAGAGAGAGAGAAUCGCGAUGUGCUCCCAAAGUGAAAACUGAAAAACGAAAGAACACUAAAAUUGUAAUCCACCAUUACUAUCACCACCACCACCACCACCACCACCACCACCACCACUUGUAAAAUCCGUUCUUACGCAUACAUAGUUUAAAACUCCGUGGCGAUCCGUCGUAAUGAAGAAGUACGUUAGGCGUUUACGUUUUCCUCCUUCACUCUUCCUCCUCUUCUGUUUUCUCUCUUUCUCUCUCUCUCUCUCUCUCUCUCUCUCUCUCUCUCUCUAUUUCUCUCCUUUCAUUUACCCCUUUCUUCAAUAUAACAAGAGAGCGGAUAUGUAUGUAAAAGAGCGACUAAACAUGUUUAAUAAUCUGGCGGUAAUGAGGAGAGAAAAAGAGAGAGGGAAAGAAAGAACAAAUUUAAAACAGGCAGAAAGAAAGAGAGAAAGAGUAAAGUUUUAAGAUAAAAGCGUCGGGAAAUGCUGUACCGAAUCGAUCAUUAUUUCUUUACUCGUAAUUUGUUUUAUAUAUGUAUGUUAUAUAUAGAUAAUUAUGAAAUAGAAGACUAAGUUAUUUUAUCAAGUGCCCUUGCUUUGUAUUAUAGUCGCGUCCGUCGACAAGCCGCAGCUUCUGGGAGUAAAAGAGAGAGAGAAAGAGAGAGAGAGAGAGAGAAAUGCGUAUUAGAGUGAACGUGAGAAAGAAAGAAUGAUUGAGCGAAUGUGUGUGUACGUGUGUGUGUGUGUUGUUAAAAAGUGUUGCGUCAGUUGUUGGUACAACGUGGGCACCGGGUAUUGACGACUCAAUACCAUCAAUGUGAUUGGCAAGUGUGGUGAGAGAGGAGAAUACAUUACAAGUCUGAAGAGUCUACUACUAGA
This is an RNA transcript of Harpegnathos saltator (Jerdon's jumping ant), 4504 nucleotides long. It is a transcript of the gene named Tousled-like kinase, with no coding region annotated. The transcript is spliced from 15 exons. NCBI's taxonomy places the organism in Eukaryota, Metazoa, Arthropoda, Insecta, Hymenoptera, Formicidae. The record is from RefSeq and is a predicted model, not a curated record.